This 66-nucleotide transfer RNA is filed under the name Cyrtodactylus brevidactylus. Its description in RNAcentral is "tRNA-Trp". Lineage: Eukaryota; Metazoa; Chordata; Lepidosauria; Squamata; Gekkonidae. The record is from RNAcentral.
AAGUUUAGGUUAAAAAAACCAGGGGCCUUCAAAGCCCCAAACAGAAGGGACACCCUCCUAACUCCU